AGCGCAGGCUGCCAGAUAAGUCAGAUGUGAAAGCCCGGGGCUCAACCCCGGAAGUGCAUUUGAAACUGUUUGGCUUGAGUAUGGUAGAGGGAAGUGGAAUUCCAGGUGUAGCGGUGAAAUGCGUAGAUAUCUGGAGGAACACCGGUGGCGAAGGCGACUUCCUGGACCAAUACUGACGCUGAGGCCCGAAGGUGUGGGUAGCAAACAGGAUUAGAUACCCUGGUAGUCC
RNAcentral lists this ribosomal RNA (229 nucleotides) under uncultured bacterium. Its description in RNAcentral is "partial 16S ribosomal RNA". It matches the Rfam family "Bacterial small subunit ribosomal RNA", at positions 568 to 796 of the family's 1533-position model. The record is from RNAcentral.